AGGAAGUCCAGGCAGAUAGCUGCAGUCAAGGCCAAGUGUGCCAGGCCAUCCACUCGGCGUACGCUAAGCCCCUGUCAUCAGGUGGCGGACGGACCGGGUUUCCUGCACUCGUGAGCCCUCCGGAAGUAUGACGGGACCCCGUGAUGAAGCCCACACAUCUUGUAUUUCAAGGUCCCGUCUGGGUAGCUCACGGGAACGGCCGAGGAGCUGCGGUGAGUCGGGGAGGUAGGGAGGAGGAGAGGGGGUCCACUCCAGUUUCAGCCGUGCCCAGUCACCUUGUCUCCACUUAACCUAGGCGUACCUCGUGACGGCAGCGUCGGCCUCGGAGCACGGCCGAAGCGUGCGGCCCGAACGCCAGGGCUCUCUUAGGAGAAGACGAAGAGAUAAGAGCCUGGUGACAGCUGGAACUUCCCAGACGGGG
Molecule: long non-coding RNA, 421 nt
Organism: Vidua chalybeata
Lineage: Eukaryota; Metazoa; Chordata; Aves; Passeriformes; Viduidae
Exons: 3
Source: RefSeq, a predicted model, not a curated record